This 182-nucleotide ribosomal RNA is filed under the name uncultured bacterium. RNAcentral describes it as "partial 16S rRNA". It matches the Rfam family "Bacterial small subunit ribosomal RNA", at positions 356 to 534 of the family's 1533-position model. The record is from RNAcentral.
GGGGCAUUUUACAGUGGGCGCAGCCUGAUGCAGCCAUGCCGCGUGUGUGAAGAAGGCCUUCGGGUUGUAAAGCACUUUCAGCGGGGAGGAAGGCAUGCGGUUUAUAACCGUGUUGAUUGACGUUACCCGCACAAGAAGCACCGGCUAACUCCGUGCCAGCAGCCGCGGUAAUACAGCAGCCG